This is a long non-coding RNA of Oncorhynchus tshawytscha (Chinook salmon), 1136 nucleotides long. NCBI's taxonomy places the organism in Eukaryota, Metazoa, Chordata, Actinopteri, Salmoniformes, Salmonidae. The record is from Ensembl.
GUAGAAGCUCUGAGCUGUCCGAUCUGGUCCAUUGUUUACUGAGGUGGCCCAAGGAGAACUCCUGAUUGACAUGUAUACUAUGGUGCAUUGAGUUGGUUGCAACCUCACCAGUGCGCUGACAAUAAACAAUGAUUGAUUUAAGAUUGACUUCGAGUGUCCCUGUUUAAGAAUUUCCACAACAUAAGUAUACCGGAAGUUCUAUUAGCAUACUUGGGAGGUCUGGAAAACGAAGCACACAUGGGAGCAUACUUUUUAGUUCCCUUCGCCAGGGAAGCUAUCCCAUAACACUUUGCAACACAGCAACAAAAAAAAUGUAAGGAAUAAAUAACUUUGUUAAAUGGACAGAUGGCAACUGAUGCGUUCCUUUCAUUCCAUGGCAGGACAAAAUAUUUGUGCCCAACUGGUUUGGAGGUUUAAGCACAUCCCACCCCAUCAGCCAGACAGAUGUAAAGAACUUGCAAACCUCUUUCCCGAACUUGAAACGUCACUAUGUUAAAAGUAGAUCCAUACGUUGUUCUCUAUCAUGCAGAAUUGUCAGCUUAUUGUAACAUGAAGCUCAUUCUAAAAUACAGACGAGUGAUUUCUGCCCCAGGGUACUGCACCGUGUGCAUUUUUAUUCCUGCCCAGCAAUCAUGUUAAAUUAUUUAUUGUCUACAAUUUAGACCACAGUAAGUUGAAUGGGGUGUUUGUGAAAGGCUGGAGCAAAAACCUGUAAACUCCUGUCCUCUGUAUAAAAAACCUGUGGCUUUUAUGACAAAAUGUGCCCUCGUGUACUGAACAAGCUUUUGAAUGUUAAUCUCCUUGAUGUGCCUCACUUGGGGAUGAUAAAAGGUUUAUUCUAUUCUACUGAGCCAUUUACUUUAUGUUCGUAUUAUCUUUUAUUAUUUAUUGUUGUUUUAUAGUUGAAGGAACCUGCAAGUAAGCAUUUCAUUGGACCAUGUGUAUCCUGUACAUAGGACUAAUAAAACUUGAAAUUUGACUUCUUUUGUACACUGGACUGUGUUGUAAGAAUUCAUACACAGAUACAGGAAAACCAAUUAAAGGGUCCAUAUUGAUUUUAAAUGACAAGUGUUGUCUCCCCACGGUUUUGAGGCUUACGCAUCUGGGGACUGCAUUUCAUUUGUCUAAUCACCUGC